RNAcentral lists this ribosomal RNA (301 nucleotides) under uncultured bacterium. RNAcentral's name for it is "partial 16S ribosomal RNA". It matches the Rfam family "Bacterial small subunit ribosomal RNA", at positions 509 to 807 of the family's 1533-position model. The record is from RNAcentral.
CAGCAGCCACGGGAAAACAGAGGGUGCAAGCGUUAAUCGGAAUUACUGGGCGUAAAGCGCGCGUAGGUGGUUUGUUAAGUUGGAUGUGAAAGCCCCGGGCUCAACCUGGGAACUGCAUCCAAAACUGGCAAGCUAGAGUACGGUAGAGGGUGGUGGAAUUUCCUGUGUAGCGGUGAAAUGCGUAGAUAUAGGAAGGAACACCAGUGGCGAAGGCGACCACCUGGACUGAUACUGACACUGAGGUGCGAAAGCGUGGGGAGCAAACAGGAUUAGAUACCCCUGUAGUCCCUGUCUCUUAUAC